CCCCUAAAAGAUUUAGAUGCACUAUUGUAAAGUGGCUGUUCCACUGGAUGUCUUAAGGUGUAUGCACCAAUUUGUAAGUCGAUCUGGAUAAGAGCGUCUCCUAAAUGACUUAAAUGUAAAUGUAAUGUAUCCCAUGUUCCCUAUACAACUGACUAGGUAUCCCCCUUUCCCUAUACAACUGACUAGGUAUCCCUCUUUCCCUAUACAACUGACUAGGUAUCCCUCUUUCCCUAUACAACUGACUAGGUAUCCCCCUUUCCCUAUACAACUGACUAGGUAUCCCUCUUUCCCUAUACAACUGACUAGGUAUCCCUCUUUCCCUAUACAACUGACUAGGUAUCCCUCUUUCCCUAUACAACUGACUAGGUAUCCCCCCUUCCCUAUACAACUGACUAGGUAUCCACCUUUCCCUAUAGAACUGACUAGGUAUCCCCCUUUCCCUAUACAACUGACUAGGUACCCC
Molecule: long non-coding RNA, 463 nt
Organism: Oncorhynchus keta (chum salmon)
Lineage: Eukaryota; Metazoa; Chordata; Actinopteri; Salmoniformes; Salmonidae
Exons: 4
Source: RefSeq, a predicted model, not a curated record